GCAAUGGUGUCUUUAGACACCACCACCUUUCUCGGGGAAGCUAUA
Non-coding RNA from Picea glauca (white spruce), 45 nucleotides. Lineage: Eukaryota; Viridiplantae; Streptophyta; Pinopsida; Pinales; Pinaceae. The record is from Rfam.